RNAcentral lists this ribosomal RNA (279 nucleotides) under uncultured bacterium. RNAcentral's name for it is "partial 16S ribosomal RNA". It matches the Rfam family "Bacterial small subunit ribosomal RNA", at positions 78 to 354 of the family's 1533-position model. The record is from RNAcentral.
CCUAAGUGAUUUUUAUUUUAGUGGCGGACGGGUGAGUAACGCGUGGGCAACCUGCCCCAUACCGGGGGAUACCAGCCGGAAACGGCUGCUAAAACCGCAUAAGCGCACAGUACCGCAUGGUACAGUGUGAAAAACUCCGGUGGUAUGGGAUGGGCCCGCGUCCGAUUAGCCAGUUGGCGGGGUAGCGGCCCACCAAAGCGACGAUCGGUAGCCGGCCUGAGAGGGCGGACGGCCACAUUGGGACUGAGACACGGCCCAAACUCCUACGGAAGGCAGCAG